GGUACCAUAGCUCAGUUGGUAGAGCAAAGGACUGAAAAUCCUUGUGUCGCUGGUUCGAUCCCGGCUGGUACCA
RNAcentral lists this transfer RNA (73 nucleotides) under Bacteroidota bacterium. RNAcentral describes it as "tRNA-Phe". It matches the Rfam family "tRNA". From Rfam's summary of the family: Transfer RNA (tRNA) molecules are approximately 80 nucleotides in length. Their secondary structure includes four short double-helical elements and three loops (D, anti-codon, and T loops). Lineage: Bacteria; Pseudomonadati; Bacteroidota. The record is from RNAcentral. RNAcentral also lists the same sequence under 1 other name.